UUUUCAUCUCUGAUCAAACAAUGAUCAUACUAUUUACAAUUAACUCUUAAUUCUUAAUCCUAAUAUCGAACCAUAAUCUAUUCUCUACUUAUUAUAUCAUCAGCUGUGCUUUCCCUCUGUCAUGUUGUCAUCACACUAGUUCAAUGUUUAUGUUUAUCAGUUUCAUUUUUUUCCCUCUCUCUCUCUCAUUUAUUACAACCCAACAAGUUAAUUGUUACAAUGAAUCACAAUUAUUGGUGAAUCAUUUUCAGCUCUUAUUGUUAUUAAUUCAACCUCAAUUAAUCGUUUUCUCUUUCUUUAUUUACAUAGGAGGGUAUAAAUCGGAGAUAGAGAGAGAGAGAUGUAAACAUGUACCAUGAAAACAAACAACCACCUUGAUCGGAAGAAGUCAUUAGCUUUGUGAAGCCUAAUGAGUACAAAUUUUGUUGCUUUUAAUUUUCUUUUCGCUUCUUAAUUGUUGAUAUGCUUUAAGCCAAAAUCAGGUGAUGAUCAGCCUUCAUUUCACUUGUUGUUGUCUCUUACUGAUUGACCUUUAAAGCCAUUUACAGUUACACUUGGAGAAAAACAAGUUUCGAUAAUCAUUUUGAAUGGUAACAUUAUCAUCGUUGGAUAAAGUCUCACUCACUCUCUCUCUCUCUUUUAAUUAAGACAGAAAUGAUUAAUUGAUCCAAAAUAAUCAAAGUUAACAAUAACAAUCGACGUCGUUGGCAAUGGAAAAACACUAAUGAUUAUUGCACGAAUAUAUUGGCAAAGAUGAUGAAGAUAAUGAUUUCCUAUUAACAUUUGAUUGUGAUUAAUCAAUUCCACAGAAAAUACACCAGACAAUUGUCA
Long non-coding RNA from Panonychus citri (citrus red mite), 831 nucleotides. RefSeq lists it as uncharacterized. NCBI's taxonomy places the organism in Eukaryota, Metazoa, Arthropoda, Arachnida, Trombidiformes, Tetranychidae. The record is from RefSeq and is a predicted model, not a curated record. The transcript has 2 exons.